RNAcentral lists this ribosomal RNA (454 nucleotides) under uncultured bacterium. Its description in RNAcentral is "bacterial SSU rRNA". It matches the Rfam family "Bacterial small subunit ribosomal RNA", at positions 954 to 1387 of the family's 1533-position model. The record is from RNAcentral.
GCAUAACGCGAAGAACCUUACCCAGACUUGACAUCCUUGGAAGGCCUCCGAAAGGAGACUGUGCCUUCGGGAACCAAGUGACAGGUGUUGCAUGGCCGUCGUCAGCUCGUGUCGUGAGAUGUUUGGUUAAGUCCAUCAACGAGCGCAACCCUUAUAGUUAGUUGAAUUUUCUAGCUAGACUGCCCUGGCAACAGGGAGGAAGGAGGGGAUGAUGUCAGGUCAGUAUUACCCUUACGUCUGGGGCUACAAACACGCUACAAUGGCCGGUACAAAGGGCAGCCAACCCGCGAGGGGAGCUAAUCCCAUCAAAGCCGGUCUCAGUUCGGAUUGCAGGCUGAAGCUCGCCUGCAUGAAGCCGGAAUCGCUAGUAACGGUAAGUCAGCACAUUACCGUGAAUACGUUCCCGGGUCUUGUACACACCGAGUCUUGUACACACCGGGUCUUGUACACACCG